AUGUUGCGUAUGAAGUGUGGUCUGAAAGAUAGCGUAUAUGUCACUAUAGAAGAAAAGGUUGAUAUGUUCUUGUUAGUGGUUGGACAUGGUAUUAAAAUGAGAGUGUUCCCUGGCACUUACAAGCGUUCUUUAGAGACUACCAGUAGGCACUUCUCGAAUGUGUUAACAACCAUUCUUUCCAUAACUGGGGAGUUUAUCAAGCUUCCUGAUCCUUCCAUUGAACCUCCGGAUGAUUACAAAUGGAAGUGGUUACGAAAUGCCUUGGGAGCACUAGAUGGGUGUCAUGUUGAUGUUUCUGUCGUUGUGGCUGACGAAGGGAGGUAUACGAACAGAAAACAAGAUAUCACCACUAACAUGCUUGGUGUUGUUGACUGGAACAUGAAAUUUCUUUAUGUUCUACCUGGCUAG
Molecule: ribosomal RNA, 408 nt
Filed under: Triticum aestivum (bread wheat)
Lineage: Eukaryota; Viridiplantae; Streptophyta; Magnoliopsida; Poales; Poaceae
Description: partial small subunit ribosomal RNA
Source: RNAcentral